AAGAGACGUUACCCUUCGGGGUAUACCUCCCACCCUUUGUUUAUUAUACCUUUGUUGCUUUGGCGGGCCCGUCCUCGGACCACCGGCUUCUGCUGGUCAGUGCCCGCCAGAGGACCUAAAACUCUGUUUGUUAAUAUUGUCUGAGUACUAUAUAAUAGUUAA
This 162-nucleotide unclassified non-coding RNA is filed under the name soil metagenome. RNAcentral describes it as "partial internal transcribed spacer 1". The record is from RNAcentral.